This 421-nucleotide ribosomal RNA is filed under the name uncultured eukaryote. Its description in RNAcentral is "SSU rRNA". It matches the Rfam family "Eukaryotic small subunit ribosomal RNA", at positions 592 to 1018 of the family's 1831-position model. The record is from RNAcentral.
CAAUAGCGUAUAUUAAAGUUGUUGCAGUUAAAACGCUCGUAGUCGGAUUUCGGGGCGGGUCUGCCGGUUUGCCGAUGGGUAUAUACUGGUGGGUGCGUCCUUCCUUCCGGAGACCGCGCCUCCUCUUAACUGAGCGGGCGUGGGAGACGGAUCGUUUACUUUGAAAAAUCAGAGUGUUUCAAGCAGGCAUGUCGCUCUUGCAUGGAUUAGCAUGGGAUAAUGAAAUAGGACUUUGGUGCUAUUUUGUUGGUUUCGAACACCGAAGUAAUGAUUAACAGGGACAGUCAGGGGCACUCGUAUUCCGCAGAGAGAGGUGAAAUUCUCAGACCCGCGGAAGACGAACCACUGCGAAAGCAUUUGCCAGGGAUGUUUUCACUGAUCAAGAACGAAAGUUAGGGGAUCGAAGACGAUCAGAUACCAU